UUUUGAGAGUUUGAUCCUGGCUCAGGAUGAACGCUGGCGGUAUGCCUUAAGCAUGCAAGUCGAACGAUCUUGUCCUUUGGACAAGAAUUUUCAAAUUAUCCAAUAAUCCAAUAAAUACCAAUUAUCCAAUAAGAGCAAAAUUCUUAUUUGAUUAUUUGAGAAUUGGAUUAUUUGUUGAUUGGAAAUUCUCGCCCAGAGGGCGAGGUAGUGGCAGACGGGUGAGUAAUAGUAAGGAACGUACCCCAAGGUCAAGUAUAGCCUUCCGAAAGGAGGGGUAAUACUGGAUAGUUCCCGAUUUAAUCGGGUAAAGCACGUAACUGUGCGCCAUGGGAGCGGCCUUAUUCCUAUCAGCUUGUUGGUAGGGUAAAAGCCUACCAAGGCGAUGACGGGUAGGGGGCGUGAGAGNNUCCGGAUUUACUGGGCGUAAAGUGUCGCGUAGGCGACUUCUUGUGUCACAUCUUAAAGAGUAAGGCUUAACCUUGCCGUUGGAUGUGAGACUAAGAAGAUUUGAAGAAGAGAGGAGUACCUGGAACUGACGGUGGAGUAGUGAAAUGCGUUGAUAUCGUCAGGAACACCAAAAGCGAAGGCAAGGUACCGGCUCUUUCUUGACGCUGAGGCACGAAAGCUAGGGGAGCGAAGCAGAUUAGAGACCUGCGUAGUCCUAGCCCUAAACGCAUGGAUGCUAGAUACCCCGUCGCAAAACCUAUGGGUUUUGCGACGAAAUCAAAAAUCAAAAUGUCCUGCAGAGCAGGAUCUGGCUUUGCCAGACAAAAUUCAAAAAUAUACAAGGUAUCCCUUCGGGACUAUUUAUAAAUUUGUCCUUGUUAAAUUUUGAUCUUUGACUUUUGAAUUUUAGAUUUCGCAAAAACGUAGUUUUUGCGAUGGGGUGUCGCAAGCUAACGCGUUAAGCAUCCCGCCUGGGGAGUACGAACGCAAGUUUAAAACUCAAAGGAAU
This 955-nucleotide ribosomal RNA is filed under the name Patescibacteria group bacterium. RNAcentral describes it as "partial 16S ribosomal RNA". It matches the Rfam family "Bacterial small subunit ribosomal RNA", at positions 1 to 910 of the family's 1533-position model. The record is from RNAcentral.